AGUGAACGCUGGCGGUAGGCCUAACACAUGCAAGUCGAACGGCAGCACAGUAAGAGCUUGCUCUUACGGGUGGCGAGUGGCGGACGGGUGAGGAAUACAUAGGAAUCUACUUUUUCGUGGGGGAUAACGUAGGGAAACUUACGCUAAUACCUCAUACGACCUACGGGUUAAAUCAGGGGAGCUUCGGACCUUGCGCGAUUGAAUGAGCCGAUGUCGGAUUAGCUAGUUGGCGGGGUAAAGGCCCACCAAGGCGACGAUCCGUAGCUGGUCUGAGAGGAUGAUCAGCCACACUGGAACUGAGACACGGUCCAGACUCCUACGGGAGGCAGCAGUGGGGAAUAUUGGACAAUGGGCGCAAGCCUGAUCCAGCCAUACCGCGUGGGUGAAGAAGGCCUUCGGGUUGUAAAGCUCUUUUGUUGGGAAAGAAAAGCAGCAGGUUAAUACCCCGCUGUUCUGACGGUACCCAAAGAAUAAGCACCGGCUAACUUCGUG
Molecule: ribosomal RNA, 492 nt
Filed under: uncultured bacterium
Lineage: Bacteria
Description: partial 16S ribosomal RNA
Rfam family: Bacterial small subunit ribosomal RNA
Source: RNAcentral